RNAcentral lists this transfer RNA (73 nucleotides) under invertebrate metagenome. Its description in RNAcentral is "tRNA-Phe-GAA". It matches the Rfam family "tRNA". Rfam says of the family: Transfer RNA (tRNA) molecules are approximately 80 nucleotides in length. Their secondary structure includes four short double-helical elements and three loops (D, anti-codon, and T loops). Further hydrogen bonds mediate the characteristic L-shaped molecular structure. tRNAs have two regions of fundamental functional importance: the anti-codon, which is responsible for specific mRNA codon recognition, and the 3' end, to which the tRNAs corresponding amino acid is attached (by aminoacyl-tRNA synthetases). tRNAs cope with the degeneracy of the genetic code in two manners: having more than one tRNA (with a specific anti-codon) for a particular amino acid; and 'wobble' base-pairing, i.e. permitting non-standard base-pairing at the 3rd anti-codon position. The record is from RNAcentral.
GCCCAGGUAGCUCAGUUGGUAGAGCAACGGACUGAAAAUCCGUGUGUCGCCGGUUCGAUUCCGGCCCUGGGCA